ACAAAUGGCAUAUGACCAGUACUGACAAUUAUUAACAUCUUCACAUAAUCACAUCACGUGGAAAUUGGUCAGUGGCAUCACCGAAACCCCCAAUGAGUCGUCCUCCAACAUGGCUCAUCCACUCACGUGUGCUCCAGGGAGCCAAUCCCCCAUUUUAGCCGACUGGUCUAAUCCUCACUUGACCGGCCCUCUCAUUGUUUAUCCAUUCUCUUUUUUUUUUUUUUUUUUUUUUUUUU
Molecule: long non-coding RNA, 236 nt
Filed under: Jatropha curcas
Lineage: Eukaryota; Viridiplantae; Streptophyta; Magnoliopsida; Malpighiales; Euphorbiaceae
Description: long non-coding RNA (JCUR_LNC002256)
Source: RNAcentral